GAUGAACGCUGGCGGCGUGCCUAAUACAUGCAAGUCGAACGCGAGCACUUGUGCUCGAGUGGCGAACGGGUGAGUAAUACAUAAGUAACCUGCCCUAGACAGGGGGAUAACUAUUGGAAACGAUAGCUAAGACCGCAUAGGUACGGACACUGCAUGGUGACCGUAUUAAAAGUGCCUCAAAGCACUGGUAGAGGAUGGACUUAUGGCGCAUUAGCUGGUUGGCGGGGUAACGGCCCACCAAGGCGACGAUGCGUAGCCGACCUGAGAGGGUGACCGGCCACAUUGGGACUGAGACACGGCCCAAACUCCUACGGGAGGCAGCAGUAGGGAAUCUUCCACAAUGGGACGAAAGUCUGAUGGGAGCAACGCCGCGUGAGUGAAGAAGGGUUUCGGCUCGUAAAGCUC
This 405-nucleotide ribosomal RNA is filed under the name uncultured bacterium. RNAcentral describes it as "bacterial SSU rRNA". It matches the Rfam family "Bacterial small subunit ribosomal RNA", at positions 28 to 433 of the family's 1533-position model. The record is from RNAcentral.